AAAAAAUUAUUUCAAUAAGAAGUAGACACGUGCUCUAAUGAAAAUAUAAUUAAUAAUGAAAUAAUAAAAAAAUCUAAAUUUUUUUAUUUAAGCACUUUAAAAGUUUAAGAUGAUUCACGUAAAGUUUCAUUGCGAUGCAAAGAUCAGUUGUGUAAAAUAAACAAAAUUUAUUUAUUUAUUUACAAACUAACUAAACAAUCACGAUAAACCUUUGUAUAAAUCAUUUUGAAGUACUUACAUAAAAGAUUGAGACUUUUUUAAUGCUGUAAAAACUAAUUUAGUUUUUACAGUAAAAACAAUAAAAAUGUUAUUAAAUAAAAACAUAAUCUUAUUCACCCAACUUUCAUAUGUAAAUACAUAGUUUAUUUGAAGUGUUAAUAUUAACAUAUUUCCAAAUUUUAUUUACUUUGUAAGAAUCGUAUGUCCGAUACAUCUUUAAUCUGAAAGACUCUUAUAAAACAUGAAGAAAUUAAUAAUAAAUGUUUAAUUAAUUAAUUGUUAAAUCGGCUAAUUCGAAUAAUAUUAUAUAAUUAAAAAAAAUUGGUUUAAUCCUCGAUUAAAAGAAGCGACUGGCAAAUUGGCGAAAAACGCGGCGAGUGAAAUUGUAUCUCGAUGACGAAGCCGGAGAUUUCGGUGCACCGUUGUCGUAAAUGUCGAUUCGAUUUCGAGAAUGAGGAGAAGAUAGUGGGAGGCGGUUGUGGGAAACUUGCCAAAAGUCGGGGCAGAAAUCAGUCUUCUCCCGUUUGUUUGUCGUGACCAUACCACCUCGUGAAUCCAUUGGUAACGCGACACCCCCAUCGCAUCGCGGCGGUUGUGUCACGAUUACGACGGCGGAUAGUCGAACUGCGCGUAGAACUAUAUAUAUAUUCGCAAAUCCACGUCGUAGAAAAGCAGAACGCAGAUUGGUGGUAUCGGGCGCCAUAUAUCUUCGUCGCGCGCAUAAACAUUUGUUCGAUUUUACCACUGUUAGUAUAAUGAUACAGACAAUGUCUGAGAGCUUUCAAACGAAACUUCUGCCACACAGAAUCAAAUUCGAAAGCUAAUUGUGACAGAUUAGAUUUUUAUAUUUUGCACACUGUAGCGUGUAUUUUUAAAACCUUUAUAUAUUUUUUUUCAAUUCUAAAUACCUGAUGCAACAUUGAGUCGAAAGAAUAUUCUACUCAUUGUCAGUAUAAAACUGUUUCUUGAAAAAUCCGCUUUUAUGUGCUUUCAGUAAAAAAAAAGUUUAAUCAAAAUUAAUUAAAAAAUCUGAUAAAAAAAUUAUAUGAAAAAUUGGGCUCUCCGCGCAAAUAACUUUAUUCUAUCAAUGAUUCAUUUGGGUGAAUAAGGAGCGAUAGAAUUCACAUCCAAACGCAUUCGACGAUGCAAUCCGGGAUGAAAUCAUCGUCGCAUUUGUGCUGAGUUGAGUUUAUGUUAAACGCGCGUGACAAGCGUCAUUCGUCAUUUUUCACGAACGGUUUUUGACAUGAGCUCAUCGUGUGCGAGAAUUCCUGAAGUUAUCAGGAUUCAUUCAUCAGAAAUGAUUCAUCCAGGCACCGAAACGUACCUUCGCGUUCACACACUCUCUUCCUUUCGCCGCGGUCGGCGACGCGUAUACAAAUAUUAGCUUAAAUGCCCCGAAGAAUCUCGACGGUCCGAUGAAUCAAGAGAAUGACUGAAAGCACUUUCAGUGUUUUCUUUUUCCAUCGUCGUCGAGUAACUCUCACCCGCGCUUACGCGCAAACAAACACUCGCGCGGUGUUUGCGAAAACCAAUCGAUCUUGAUUUCGCUUCGUGAAAUAACCGCGGACAGAUUCGUUCAGCUUGUAACGGAAACAUUUCCGCGUCUCUCUUAGGAAUUGCGACAUACCCCACAAUUAUUUUCAGAGACGGAUUUUAUUUCUUCCUCUAGAGGAAGUUUUAGAUGAAAUUAAAGAAAUGGAAAAUUUAGAAAAAUUCAAUUAUAUCUAGAGAGAGAAAGAGAAAGAGAGAAAUUAAACUAAAGAUAGUAAAUAAAAUUUAUUCCAUUUCAAUCAAUAUCGGUUUCUGUAUCUUUCUCAAAGUGUCACACGCGUUUGCACCGAUCUCGAAUGCACUCCGACGGUAUACUCUUUUGCGAUCCUUUGUGAUUCCUUUCAACUGUCUCCUCCGUCAUGCCGACUCAUACACGCCUCUGAGAAUUGAUUCUACUUUCACGCGCUCUCGUUGACCUCCGUUUUCUCGUUUUCGUCUCCUGACAUCUGGUAUGUCGUUCACAAUCACAGUCGCGAUUCUAAGAUCCUUCAAAAUAGUCUCAGAUCUUUCCGUGUCAAUUUAUCGCGUUCUUAUACGAAAAUGAAACUCGAAAUAAAAGUUGGACUAAAAAAACUUUUUGUAGUAAUAUCUGUUUUAAAUAUGUAUCUAUCGCGUAAAUGCCAAAGAUUGACGUCAUUAAUAUUUGGCGGAUAAAAACAUGCGAUUUUUCGCGUACCGUGUACGCGAUACAUUCGUUUGACCAUUGUUAUAUUGUUACACUUUGCGGCAGUAACAACAGGCAGUUUGUUUAAAAAGAUAAGAGCUACGUGUUGUAUGUAUGCGUGUAUGUGUGUGCAUGUGCAGUCGACUGUGCGCUGAUAAUUUCGGUCUGACGUUAUUGUCUAUUUCUUCUACCACAAGAACCGGCGGAGGCAUUUAACUCAGUUUCUCUUCGAUAUUUAUUUCGUCAUCGACGCAUCGAUACAUCCGACCUCGAAGCGAAAUGAUUCAAGCAAUGGACAAAGAUCGAAAAAUUUAUUUCACCUCUUUUCGCGCACACAUUUUAGCAUAUUUUUAUAAUGUAAAAAUGUCAAACCUAUUUUACAAUAAAUGUAAAAUAUAUUUUUCAAUAAAUAUAAUUUUUCUCCUAAUUCUGGAAUAUCGAUUUAAAAGAUCGCUUUUGUUGUAUUUCAUCUAUUAUGUUUUAAUUACACUUUUAUACGUGUCUACUGUAUAACUGUGAUUAGAAUAUGGUAAAAAAAUUAAUAUUUCAAUAUUUACACUGUAACUAUUAUUAAGAUAUUAUUGUAUUAAUGCAUCAACGAAAUUUUGCAAAAUAAUAGAUCGUUGAAACAAAACCUAGGAAAUUAAAACGUGUAAUAUUGAUAGAACAUUAAAUUUCAAAAUUAAAUAAUUUUGAUAUUAAUUGUGACUUAGAAGUGGACUAAGAAAAUUUACGCGCACGCUUCAGCGUUCCUCUCGUUUCGAUGCAUUGACAAAGGAAACCACUGCGUGUAGAAAAAUAUGAAACGCGUCUCGCGUUUCUGCACGUUUUGUCGGCAUAAAAUGCAACUGGUUCGCACGAGCUGCGUUCCCCGCCGGUGCGGCGUUUUUGAGGGUAUUGCACGUAUGAACGAGCCUUAAGAGUCCUCGUCCUAAGCUCAAGUGAGAGAGAGAAAGUGAGGGAGAGAAAGAGAGAAACGGAGAAAAAAGAACAGAUGCAUUCCAACAUGGGAAGGUGGGAUGGAUCCGUCUCUGAUAACCCGCCCAUUGGAAUGCGUACCUCGUACACCUUGGUGUAUUCUCCCUCUCAGUUUCACUACACACGAGUGCAUCUACCUACACGCACACGUACACAGACACGCGCCACGCAUAUUCGGCAGUUAUUUUUAGAGCAAUUCUAACAGGCGGACAUGUGAUGGUGUUUCGGACGCAAUAACUGACAUCCGGGAACUUAUUCGUCGCGUAAAUCGCGGGAUCGGAUUCGCGUGACAUUGAUUACAACCCGAUUUAAUUGUUCAAUUGUUGCGUUCGAUUUUUCUAAUACAAUCUCGGAUAACGAAGCAGAUGUCUCAGUAAAAUCGUGCGAAUUUAUGCGCACGUUUCAGCACGUUUUUCUCAAUGCUUUGAUAAAGGAAAAACACUGCGUGCAGAAAAAUAUGAAAAUAUCUGUAAUUGCUUGUGACGCUGGUCACCUGCUCUGCCGUAUAUUCGUCUUCAAUGAUUUAGAAUUGCACGCGGGCAACAAUGCAUGUACGUACACAUCAUAUAUUGCCAGCAAUUUAAUGGCGAGAGAGAGAGAGCAACAUCAAAAUUACCUUGCGUUGUCGGUAAUGCGGCGGUAUCAUAUGGUCGUAUAAUUAUUAUGGCAGCAGUGCGAAUUUUGAUAACGACGAUUUCAAAGCUUCCGAUAAGUUGCUACCCAAAGUUAUAUCGUGAUGCAAUUCGCCAACAGACGCGGACUCAGUUACUGCAAUUCUAUAGUGCAUUUUGUGAUGCAAGCAAUGUGCCAGCAACAAUACGGACAUCGUUGCUAUCUGGGAUGUAGGCACAGAUCGCAUUGCAAACGUGAAAAUCUGCAUUAAAGUGAAUUCAAUCGAUUACGCUUACGUAUAGAGAUGUGAAAAUAAAGAUACAUUGCAAAGACGCACUCCCUCCCUUCCGAGAAUAAAUAUAAAAAGAAAAAUUAUAAAAAUCGUAUUUUAAUGUUAAGAUUAUCCAAGUUCGAAACAUGAAUCACAUGUUACAAGUUCAAGUCACGCUUUUAGAACACGAUUUCUUUUAAUUCUUUUUACUUCUCGGAAUACAGGAAGAGAAGAAUCGCGAAUAAUUUCUCGAUUCUUUACGACCUACGCUUCGCGGAAACGAUCGGUGCACCUUCGAAGACAUUCCUCCGCGCGUUCAUUCAUCGGCUCCUCGCAUUGACGCCGUAAUUACUCGCUGAAUAGAAACGAUCGCGGCGGCAGGCCGCGGACGACGACGUGUUGCGUGCAUCGGGACGAGCUUUUGAUGCACCUUGAUGCAUUCUACCUCUCGGUCGCCGCCGCCGCCGCCGCCGCCGCCGCCGCGACUCGAUUGCGAGUGUAUGUACGUAACGACUGUAACGUGUUCGGGGAGCCUAUUUUUAGACCGGUCCAAGACUAUUUUUAGAAGCGGCCUGCCCACCGACAGCUUAACCCUGACUUACGUCCCCGUGUCUUCGUGGACACCGCAGGGAUACCGCGAAGAUCGGUGGACCAUUAGGCGCAUCAGCCGAAAGAUACACGGUCGCCAGGAAAUGCGAAACGCGCGGCAUACUUUCUGACCGUUCAUCUGACGUCUGUUUUUUUUUUUUUUAUAGAUAAACUAAUGUACACUUUCUGUACUUAAAGUGAAAUAAGUAUAUGAAAUUUGGCAAAAGCGAAAAGAGAAAUUUUGCAAUUCAGUGCAGCAAUAAAAAGUAAGCCUCUGGACUUUUUUUAUAUUCAAAUUGUCACAGCCAUUAUAAAUCACAGUUCAUGACAAUAAUCAUCAUUAUUGAUUAUUAUUCAUCAAUAAUAACGUGUACUAAAACAUUGAUUUUUCAUUAUUUACGAACCUUUACAGCGUAGAUUUUUGUUUUUCAAUCAAACACUCGUCAAACGGAGAACAAUGUUGUUUGAAAAGUCUACACCUACACGUGUCGUGAUCGUAAAAAUUUAACCGCGAAGAUCAUUCUGAAGUCGUAUGCUUAGCCUAUCGGACUUUAUCGGAAUCAAAGACGAGGCCGAACAGUAAAACUAGGUAUUACGACCACACGCAGAGCGAUGACGCAAGCUUGCGAGCUUCUAUUUGCGGCAACUACACGCAUAGAUCUAACUGCUCUCUCAAGCUCACUGCUCUGAUUUCGCGCUAGUAUGACGUUCCGCGCGAGUGUGUUUGAAAAGAGCGAAAAUCGCGAGAUUAAACAGCGAAUUUCAAGGGAAUCUAAUCUCAAGGAGAUCUGAGAGAAAUCUUAAUUUUAAUGAGAAGGAUUAAUGAAAAUUCCGAGAAAGUAACAGAAGAGAUCUUCAAUCGUAGCGUGUAUUUAGAAGACCAUUUGUUCUCAAAAGUGGCAUUUUUAUGGUUGUAGGAUCUUCCACUUCCUUCCAUUCGGCAGAGAGACUUAGUUCUCAGUGUCUAAGUGAGAACGCAAAGAACUUUCUUAAUAACUUUCAAAACACGCGCGGCGAAGAUUAAAGCAACACUUUCCGUUGGAUUAUGACGAUCUCUAACAAUAAUGUCCGACAUUCGAGGCGUAAUGACGCGCGUGCACUUAAAUAUAGUGGCUCUGGAGUCUGGACUCUGGAGAGGAGAAGAGAGGAGAGGAGAGGAGAGGAGAGGAGAGGAGAGCCCCGACUCGGCGACGCGUUUCGUAAAAAUAGACCCGAGGUUCGAGAUGAGAAUUUCAAAAGUCGCAACUGAUCAGACCCUUCUUUUAGUGUGAUCUUCGGAUCAACACUGUACACUUGGCUACAUAAGUCAUAUAUUAGCUAAGUAAUAAUAAUAAAAAAAAAAAAAACAAUGUAAUGAUAGCCCGUUAAUUAAAAUUUUUCUCGA
Molecule: long non-coding RNA, 6270 nt
Organism: Solenopsis invicta (red fire ant)
Lineage: Eukaryota; Metazoa; Arthropoda; Insecta; Hymenoptera; Formicidae
Exons: 2
Source: RefSeq, a predicted model, not a curated record